Helicoverpa armigera (cotton bollworm) is the source of this 389-nucleotide long non-coding RNA. RefSeq lists it as uncharacterized. The transcript is spliced from 3 exons. Lineage: Eukaryota; Metazoa; Arthropoda; Insecta; Lepidoptera; Noctuidae. The record is from RefSeq and is a predicted model, not a curated record.
UAAAUAAUGAGAAAGAUUAAAUAAUUUGACUUCAGUGUGAUUUGAUUAGUUGAACAAGAUGAAGCAUUUUGUUGUAUUUCUGUUUAUCGUGCUUUUUGCAGCGGCGCACGCAAUGCCAGCAACAAACAGAGGGAAUAUAUAUGCAUCGGGAGACAGUGUAGCUUCAGGUGUUGUUGACGGUUCAACAUUUGGCAGUGGUGCAUUUUCUACUGGAGGAAGCUCGUCAAAUUGCGGUUUACUCCAGAAGGCAAUUUCAAUAUUGUGGAAUGUUUGUCCGCAAUAAGAAAAACAUAAAAACAACAAAAAGGCGAUAUAGCUAAUCUUGACUUACAUACAUAUCAAUAAUAGUGCAAUCAAAAUUACAAAACACUGAUAUGUAACAAUAACAU